RNAcentral lists this ribosomal RNA (468 nucleotides) under uncultured bacterium. RNAcentral's name for it is "partial 16S ribosomal RNA". It matches the Rfam family "Bacterial small subunit ribosomal RNA", at positions 28 to 507 of the family's 1533-position model. The record is from RNAcentral.
GAUGAACGCUGGCGGCGCGCCUAACACAUGCAAGUCGAACGGAGCUGAGAGAAGCUUGCUUUUCUUAGCUUAGUGGCGAACGGGUGAGUAACGCGUGAGUAACCUGCCCUGGAGUGGGGGACAACAGUUGGAAACGACUGCUAAUACCGCAUAAGCUCACGAUCCGGCAUCGGAUUGAGGGAAAAGGAUUUAUUCGCUUCAGGAUGGACUCGCGUCCAAUUAGCUAGUUGGUGAGGUAACGGCCCACCAAGGCGACGAUUGGUAGCCGGACUGAGAGGUUGAGCGGCCACAUUGGGAGUGAGACACGGCCCAGAAGCCUACGGGAGGGAGCAAUGGGGGAUAGUGCACAAUGGGGGAAACCCUGAAGGAGCGACGGCGCGUAGAGGAAGAAGGUUUGCGAAUAGUAAACUCCUGUCGUUAGGGACGAUAAUGACGGUACCUAACAAGAAAGCACCGGCUAACUACGUG